GACGAACGCUGGCGGCGUGCCUAAUACAUGCAAGUUGAGCGAUGAAGAUUGGUGCUUGCUCCUCUUUGAAGAGCAGCGAACGGGUGAGUAACGCGUGGGGAAUCUGCCUUUGAGCGGGGGACAACUUCUGGAAACGAAUGCUAAUACCGCAUAACAACUUUAACCAUAAGUUUUAAGUUUGAAAGAUGCAAUUGCAUCACUCAAAGAUGAUCCCGCGUUGUAUUAGCUAGUUGGUUAGGUAAAGGCUCACCAAGGCGAUGAUACAUAGCCGACCUGAGGAGGGUAUCGGCCAAAUUGGGACUUGGACACGGCCCAAACUCCUACGGGAAGCAGCAGUAGGGAAUCUUCGGGAAUGGACGGAAGGCUGACCGGGCAACGCCGCGUGGGUGAAGAAGGUUUUCGGAUCGUAAAACUCUGUUGGUAGAGAAGAACGAUGGUGGGAGUGGAAAGCGCAUCAAGUGACGGUAACUACCCAGAAAGGGACGGCUAACUACGUG
This 497-nucleotide ribosomal RNA is filed under the name uncultured bacterium. Its description in RNAcentral is "partial 16S ribosomal RNA". It matches the Rfam family "Bacterial small subunit ribosomal RNA", at positions 28 to 507 of the family's 1533-position model. The record is from RNAcentral.